This 168-nucleotide small RNA is filed under the name Arabidopsis thaliana (thale cress). RNAcentral describes it as "ATSL271380". Lineage: Eukaryota; Viridiplantae; Streptophyta; Magnoliopsida; Brassicales; Brassicaceae. The record is from RNAcentral.
AAACCUAAGUAUUGUAUCCUUGUUAGAAGGUACAAAGAGAAAGACUCAUACAGACUACACCAUCAAAGCUUUGAGAAGCGAGAAGAAGCUUGGUUAGUGUUUUGGAGUCGAAUAUGACUUGAUGUGAUGUGUAUGAUUUAGUAUAAGAACUUAAACCGCAACUUGGGC